Molecule: ribosomal RNA, 375 nt
Filed under: uncultured archaeon
Lineage: Archaea
Also listed under: 1 other name
Description: bacterial SSU rRNA
Rfam family: Bacterial small subunit ribosomal RNA
Source: RNAcentral
UACGGAGGGUGCAAGCGUUGUUCGGAAUUAUUGGGCGUAAAGGGCGCGUAGGCGGUUGUGAAAGUCAGAUGUGAAAUACUUCGGCUCAACUGAAGAACUGCAUCUGAAACUUCAUAACUCGAGUACAGGAGAGGGAAACGGAAUUCCCGGUGUAGAGGUGAAAUUCGUAGAUAUCGGGAGGAACACCAGUGGCGAAGGCGGUUUCCUGGCCUGAUACUGACGCUGAGGCGCGAAAGCGUGGGGAGCAAACAGGAUUAGAUACCCUGGUAGUCCACGCUGUAAACGGUGAAUACUAGGUGUGGGAGGUGUAAUACCUUCUGUGCCGAAGCUAACGCGUUAAGUAUUCCGCCUGGGAAGUACGGCCGCAAGGUUGAA